GUGAGUCAUCGAGUCUUUGAACGCACAUUGCGCCCUUUGGUAUUCCAAAGGGCAUGCCUGUUUGAGCGUCAUUUCUCUCUCAAACCCUUGGGUUUGGUAUUGAGUGAUACUCUUAGUCUUACUAGGCGUUUGCUUGAAAAGUAUCGGCAAGAGUGUACUGGAUAGUACUACUGGUUAUUCAAUGUAUUAGGUUUAUCCAACUCGUUGAAGGACUGGGCGUAAAUUUCUGGUGACUGGCUCGGCCUUACAACAACAAACAAGUUUGACCUCAAAUCAGGUAAGAUUACCCGCUGAACUUAA
RNAcentral lists this ribosomal RNA (300 nucleotides) under uncultured fungus. Its description in RNAcentral is "eukaryotic LSU rRNA". The stretch from base 1 to 71 matches the Rfam family "5.8S ribosomal RNA", at positions 84 to 154 of the family's 154-position model. The record is from RNAcentral. Lineage: Eukaryota; Fungi.